Molecule: unclassified non-coding RNA, 327 nt
Filed under: uncultured fungus
Lineage: Eukaryota; Fungi
Description: partial contains 18S rRNA, ITS1, 5.8S rRNA, ITS2 and 28S rRNA
Rfam family: 5.8S ribosomal RNA (bases 211-327)
Source: RNAcentral
AAGGAUCAUUACUGAACUGUCGACACGAGUUGUUGCUGGCCCUCGAAAGGGGCACGUGCACGCUCUGUUUACACAUCCACUCACACCUGUGCACCCUCCGUAGUUCCAUGGCCCUGGGGACUCUGUCCCAUCGCCGUGGUCCUGCGUCUUUACACACACACCGUAACAAAGUCUCAUGGAAUGUACAUCGCGUUUAACGCAAUACAAUACAACUUUCAGCAACGGAUCUCUUGGCUCUCGCAUCGAUGAAGAACGCAGCCGUACGCGCUUCUUUGUGUUUGGUUUUAAUACAAACUACAACUUUCAACAACGGAUCUCUUGGCUCUC